CAGCAGCCGCGGUAAUACGUAGGUGGCGAGCGUUGUCCGGAUUUACUGGGUGUAAAGGGCGUGUAGGCGGGUUUUUAAGUCCGGUGUGAAAUCCCACGGCUCAACCGUGGAAUUGCACUAGAAACUGGAAAUCUUGAGUGCUGGAGAGGAAAGCGGAAUUCCUAGUGUAGCGGUGAAAUGCGUAGAUAUUAGGAGGAACACCAGUGGCGAAGGCGGCUUUCUGGACAGUAACUGACGCUGAGGCGCGAAAGCGUGGGGAGCAAACAGGAUUAGAUACCCUGGUAGUCCACGCCGUAAACGAUGGAUACUAGGUGUGGGAGGUAUCGACCCCUUCCGUGCCGGAGUUAACACAAUAAGUAUCCCACCUGGGGAGUACGGCCGCAAGGCUGAAACUCAAAGGAAUUGACGGGGGCCCGCACAAGCAGUGGAGUAUGUGGUUUAAUUCGACGCAACGCGAAGAACCUUACCAGGACUUGACAUCGUGUGCAUAGUGUAGAGAUACAUGAAGUCUUCGGACACACAGACAGGAGGUGCAUGGCC
This 540-nucleotide ribosomal RNA is filed under the name uncultured archaeon. RNAcentral's name for it is "bacterial SSU rRNA". It matches the Rfam family "Bacterial small subunit ribosomal RNA", at positions 509 to 1050 of the family's 1533-position model. The record is from RNAcentral.